AUACGAAGGGGGCUAGCGUUGUUCGGAAUCACAGGGCGUAAAGCGCGCGUAGGUGGAUCAAUUAGUUGAGGGUGAAAUCCCGGGGCUCAACCUCGGAACUGCCUUCAAUACUGUUGAUCUUGAGACCGAGAGAGGUGAGUGGAAUUCCUAGUGUAGAGGUGAAAUUCGUAGAUAUUAGGAAGAACACCAGUGGCGAAGGCGGCUCACUGGCUCGGUACUGACGCUGAGGUGCGAAAGCGUGGGGAGCAAACAGGAUUAGAAACCCUUGUAGUCC
Molecule: ribosomal RNA, 274 nt
Filed under: uncultured bacterium
Lineage: Bacteria
Description: partial 16S ribosomal RNA
Rfam family: Bacterial small subunit ribosomal RNA
Source: RNAcentral